RNAcentral lists this long non-coding RNA (230 nucleotides) under Lathyrus oleraceus (garden pea). Its description in RNAcentral is "Pisum sativum (pea) long non-coding RNA (PSAT_LNC022408)". The record is from RNAcentral. Lineage: Eukaryota; Viridiplantae; Streptophyta; Magnoliopsida; Fabales; Fabaceae.
UUAACUUUGCUUUACUUUCAAGUCAUUUACUUUAUGCAAUUUAAAUUCAAGUCAUUUACCAUUCAUUUGUCAUUUACAUAGCAUUUAAAUUGUUUAUGUUUAAGUCAUUUUCACUUUGCUCAUUUGAGUCAUAUAUUGUGAUUGUAUAUAUUUGUUUGUGUUACUUUGUUUGUGUUUGUGGUAUUAGGACCUUAAAAUACUUAAUAAAUAACAAAAACCCUAAAAAAUGU